RNAcentral lists this long non-coding RNA (326 nucleotides) under Homo sapiens (human). RNAcentral describes it as "non-protein coding lnc-ZNF667-3:3". Lineage: Eukaryota; Metazoa; Chordata; Mammalia; Primates; Hominidae. The record is from RNAcentral.
CGGGGCUUGCGGCGAGGGGUGGGACCGCAGGGCCGGAGUAAAAGGGUGCUUGGCUGUGACAGGUCUCCUGGCCUCAGUGAUGGAAUUAAGAUGACUUCUAUCUCUGAAUCCAAGGGUGACUGAAAGCCGCAAGCUGCAGAAAGGACAAGAGGCAUCACCUAUGUGGAUAAAGACAGCAUCCUGAGUUGAUGGAGAAAUGGCAUAGAAGGAACCAGGUCCUUUGAUGACAUCAUGGAGCAAAGCUGUCUUCUUGCCUUGACCUGCUACCUACCUACAUGGGAAGCUGUUACUUGAGAAGGCAAUAAAAUCUAUCUUCUUUAUUGACA